UUCAACAGAAACUUAAGUUCAUUCGCUAUAGCAGUUGCAGCAGAAAAUGGUUAGCUAUCUUAAAUGCUGUGGAGAAAGUUUAUGGUUCAACAAUUGACAAGCAUUUAUGAUGCUGUAAAUCCUUUAUUGUAUGUUGGAUCAGAUACUGAGACCAAAGACAAUCAGUGGCUUUCAUGGUGUGCAUCAAGAGAAUCAAGAUGAAAAAAAAAAAGGAAAAGUUGCACUACACUACUAAAGAAUCAAGAGUGGAAAUAUUUGGGAAUUGUGAAAAAGAGGACAUGACGUAGAUAUUUGGAAUAUACAUAGCCAACACUUCCACCCAGCUUUUCAACAACAACAACAACAACAACAAAAGGCUCCUUCUCUCUGGUAUAAAUCAGCCCCAGUCACUCAACAGUCUGAAAGACACUGAGGCAAGGAUGGGUGAAAGACAAAGUUAUUUCAUAUUUCUAAUUUGAAGAUGAGAAUCGCAGUGAAAACUUUGGACAUACUUCUGAUUCAAUAAGCCUAUAAAAGCAGAAUGUAGAAAAGAGUAACACAGAGAAGAUUCAUGAAUGGCUCCAAGGAAAGAGACACUGGUUAUCAGCAUCUUGUGCAAGGGAUUGGCAUCAGUCCCACGUUCCAGUCAGUCCUCUGCCACACGGCUGUUCGAUGAUCUUGCAAGAAACUCAGGCUGUAUUUCUAAAACAAUGGCUUUGAAUCUGCAGUCCAAAAAUCCCUGAGAGUUCACGGCCCUUUUCUGGAAAUGUGAAGUUAACAAGAUAAUUCUCAAGAAGCAUAAAGUUGAUAUGCUGCCAUCUACAGCUUCGCUGGAAAAAGAUUUAAGCUCUGCUCGCUGAGAAGGAUAAAGACUGCUGCUCUUCAUUAUCUGAUCUGACCAUCUUCAGUAGUCAUAUGGAUGCCGGAGAAAGUUUAAAGUAAAUAUAAGACUCAUCUGGCUGUGACUCAGUCUAGAAAAUAAAAAGGUAUUAUUGCUUAAGAAAAUAGCCAGAAAAGAUAUGCAAAACUGUAGGGUGACUUUAGAGAGAAGUGUGGGAGCAAGUCUUUAGAGUCAUAUUGUACUCACAGCUGCUAUUUGGACAGAAAAGUGCAGUUUAGCCAUCUCUGUUUUUCACUCUAUUUCAUGUAAUACAGAAUUCCACUUUUCAGGAGCAGAUCUUACCAAUUUGUUAAAGAUCUCCUUGAGGUCUUUCACGAGGAAAUCUUAUAGCUUCUGCCAUUAAUGCCAUGAGAUCUCUGACCUAGACUACUAGGACAGCAAUUUUAUGGGGCUAAACCCCAUAGAUAUGGGGCUUACCCCAGAGAUAAGGCCAGUGCAGAAUUCAGAAAAUUAUUUUUUACGUGGCACCUCUUUCAAAUCAUGCCUGGUAUAAGGGCCCUCACACUUGCACUAGCUCUUUAAGGGUUACUAUUUCAGUCACAAGCUUUGCCCUUCAGUUCCACAAAGAUGCUGAAAAAAUGGUUCUCCCCAUUUCCAUAGCUGUACAGGUAUUAUCCAAGAAUGUCUGGUAUGGUGAUGGAUUCAAGAACAAAGGAAAGAAUGGGGCAGGGUUUUGGAUGAAUUUACCUGAUAUUUAGAGAUUACUUUUUUCUUUCAAACUGAAACAAUUAUUAUUUUAUUUUAUUUUGGACAUGUUCAGAUAAUCACAAAUUUAAGGUAGUUAUUAAUAGUUAUAAGAUUAAAUUUUGUGUUAUAAAGUUAGCUAUAAUUAUUUUUGUCUAUUUUUGGAAACCAGUGACCUGCAAAGCUUGGGCAAGAGCUGUGGAUCCUGACUACUUUAUCAGGAAAACAACAGCAUUUCAGUGUCAAGAAACUGAGAAAACACAAAUUUUGCUUUGCUUAGAACAAGGUCUAUUAAAUUAAUGCCUGCAUUUGUUUUUAACCUAGUAGACUUUCUCUUCCCUCCACUCUCUCUUCUCCAUAUAUAGAAGUAUUCAACAGUUAUUAUAUAUUUGAAAUUCUUAGCUACCAGAAAGUAGCAUUAAUAGCUGGAAGUGCCUUUACAAAGGAAAUGUUCAUUAUUUUAUAGAUUGGAUAGACUUGGACUGUAAUUACAUACUCAAGAUCAUGAAGGAGACUCUUGAAAUUGUUUAGAAAUAAAGCUCUGAGCUACUUCCAAGCUUACGGCUGUUGUUGGUUUUGCCCUUUCCUAGAUGAUGUCAGACAAAUGAGGGAGUAAUAAGGAAUAAGGCAUCUAACUUUUAGACAAAUUGAACCCUAAAUUACCUAUAGCACUGACCAAGGAGACUUCAUCCUUAAGAACAAAAAACGUGAGAAAUCUGAGCUGGCUGUUAGGAAGUAGUAUAGGACUUUGUGCUUUCUACCCAAAGAAAACCAAAGGUGGGACAGUCGAGCAAAGUAUAACCUCCCAUGAGGAACUGUGCUCUACCUGGUAACCUUUGUGGAAAGAGAUGAGUUACCAGAGCCCAACUUACAUGCAGUCACUCACAAAGCUACAGGCAGUCACCAGUGGAUGCUUGGACAUCUGCCCAACAACCCAUUUUAAAGCCAAGAAGUUAGACAUACGCCCCAGUCAACCCCCUUCACAGGAGCUGGGUAAAAAAGAAACACCACAUAUUACUCUUAAGGAUACCUGAGAUCCAAAGCUAUGGGACAGAACUAAGAAAAGUUUUUUUCCAUUCCUUUACAUGGAAUCCAGGACUCUGUGCACAAUUUCUUAAAGAUCUGCUGGAUCUGAGGGAUGGAGAUAGUAUGGUGAAAUAAAAUAAAUGCAUAAGCAAACUGGUAAGAGAUGGGCCAACUUUUCUGGCCAUGAAUGUUUCAUACCAAACAAACUAAUAAUAUUUUAAGAAUAGCCAAGUCAAACGUUACUUCAUAUUUAACUGAAAUGUUUUUAAAAGCAGAACAAACGACAACAAAUACUGAGCAAAAUCUUUCAAGCAAAUUGAAAUCAUUUUGUCCAUCACUGUUUUUAUUAUUAUUAUUAUUUUUAUUCUGUCAGUGGAUCAGGAUAUUCAUUUUUGUGAUAGGUUCCAUUUAGUCUUUAUAAGAAGAAUUCAUGGUCUGUGGGAUGCUUUUCUCCUCCUGUGGGCUUGUAUAAUGGGUAUUGUGAGCCAUCACAUGGUUGUUCUGGAGAAGGUGCAACAGAAAAGGAUUUCUCUUAUUGCCAGAUAAAUUCUUUGAAGUAGGAUGGCUGCAAGCCUUUCCUCAUGCCACACUUUUCUGUGAGGACUAACAACAGCUGACCAACUUCAUCCCUGCCUCUUUUGUUUGCUGCCUUUGGCUUAUAGUCCACUGCCGGUGAAGAGUCAGAUGCCUCAGACUUAGAUGUUUUUAUGUCUAUCAGCCUCAUAGCUGGUUCCCAUAGCUUCUCACAUUGUUUUGAACCUGAAAAGGGGGCCAAGCUGAACACAUCCAAAUCCUUUCAUUUGAUCCUAGUUCACAUCAGCCAAAUGAAUGUGGAAUAUAAAGCACUGGAAGCAGAAGGUAAGGAUUAGGUUGAGUGCCGCCAGGCCUGUUCUGAAGAAGAGAUCUCAUUUAGGAUCCAUAUCUGUCAGUGAUGCUCACAGUUCUGAUACUGUACAUGGAAAGGUACAGAUGUUUGGAAAGUUCCCAAAACUCAGCAAAUUUAUUCUCCAAAGACAGGCAGCAAGACUUACUUACUGGCCUUCUAGUUCCCUUUGGCUGACUUCACCAAAAGAAAGAGUUUGUUCCCUUGGAGUACGCUUGUGUGGAGACUUGCAUAGUGAUGUGCAUGUGUUUCUUAAAGAAGAAGAAGAAAAAAAAAAAGCAGUAAAAGAAAAUCUCUGGGCAACGUAGUUUAUCCUGUAGAUUUCUAUUAUCCAAGCUAAAUGUAAAAGUGUUUACAGAAAAGAUAGUCUCUCCAAGACGACUGGGAUAGUAAGGCUGUGUUUUUUCUUCCUAAGAAGCUGUGUUUUUUCUUCCUAAGAAGUUGUGUUUUUUCUUCCUAAGAAGUUGUGUUUUGGAGAUGAGUUCUUCUGUACAUUCCCAGGUGUCUAACAUGCACAAAGCUCAAUUCUGUCACUGAAGUAAUUAACAGAGUCUCUCUUCUAAGCAGCUUGUCAGAACUUAAUAUCUCUGAUACCUUCACUUCUCUAAUUGUGGGCUCAAAUAUUUUUAGAGGAAGAUGGGCCAUGAAAAAGAGUGAGAGAUGAGUUGGCAUGAGUCAACUGAGUGUGUGUUUCUUUCACAGUCCCAGUGCAUGUCUCGUAUUCCCCCAAUAAUUUCACCCUUGUUACUGUUCCUUCACUUUUCUCUUCAUAUCAUGCAUGUAAUGCCCACCUUGAGCUUGCACAUAUGCCCACACACUAAACCACCACUAGGAAAUACUCUGCUACAGUACAUAUAUAAAAAUUACAUCACUUUAUUAAUCUUACAAUUAAAUUUGCUAGUCAGCUCUCACUGAGUUUUGUGUUUUGCACACAAUUAUCAUGGUAAGACUACUCAAUGGGACUGAUUAGUAUAAAAAGUCAUUUUCCAUCCACACUCUGGAGGUGGGAGCCAGUAGGGAGUGUGGAGGAGAGAGGACACACAAAACGGCAGAGAUUUCAGGAGCAGUGCUGACUCACUUCUAAAUUGCUUACUUGCUUUUAGAUCAAUUUUAUAUUUAUAGUGGGAGCCAUAAAUCUUAAGAAGACAAGAUUCCUAUUCAUGCUACUUUUCAUAACUUAUUUUGAACUCCCCACCUGAAGAACAGGCUGAAAGCCCCAUGACUGUAGUAUAUUAUCAUUCAUGAUGCCUGCCCAAGAAACGAGGCAAAUAGAUCUUACCAAAAAGAUAAAACACAUAAAUUUUAAGCCUCCUUACACGAUAUGUAAGUUCAAGCAAAUAUCAUCCAGUGGUGAAGUGACCUUCAAUAAUUUAGAAAAUUAUUUUUUUCAACUAAGAUUUUUGAAGUUUGUGAAAGCAUUUUAUUUCUUAUUUGCCUGUAUAUUAUACUAUUGAAGCGUCAAAAAUUUCCAAGGGUGAGAAAUUUCAGUUUCCAAUCCUUCCUUGAAGUUACACAGAUUUCCACAGAUUUCUCAUAAAUCUGAGAAGAUUUUACUUAAUUUAAUGGUUAUAUGAGAGAUUAGAAAAAUCCCCAUGGGAAAAAAAAAAAAAAAAAAAAAAAGAAGACACAUGGAAAAUAGUUUUGUAAAUCAAAGAUUGUUGUGAUGAACUUUGUUUUAUUUUUUUCUGUUUUAUACAAAUGUCUUUAAUUAUUUAAUUUUAAUAAAAUUAAUUUUAAAUAAAAUUAAAUUAAAUUUUAAAAAAAUUAAUUGUAAUUAGUAACGGCAAAAUAAACAAAUAAUAUUAUGCUUUAAAUCUACUGAAUCUUUACAAACAAACUGAGCUUUAAAAUCACACAGCAUUAGAAGUAUGAUCUGAUGGGUUUUUUUUGUUUUGUUAGGUUUUUUUUUUUGUAAUUAUUUUGCUAUGUUCUUAUUAUUCACUGAGCAAUUCCUACUGCAUACAGUAAGACUGGGAUUGAGAUCUAAGAUAGUUAUUUGAAAACAAAAUAAAG
RNAcentral lists this long non-coding RNA (5486 nucleotides) under Gallus gallus (chicken). The record is from RNAcentral. Lineage: Eukaryota; Metazoa; Chordata; Aves; Galliformes; Phasianidae.